Molecule: ribosomal RNA, 374 nt
Filed under: uncultured Pelotomaculum sp.
Lineage: Bacteria; Bacillati; Bacillota; Clostridia; Eubacteriales; Desulfotomaculaceae
Description: bacterial SSU rRNA
Rfam family: Bacterial small subunit ribosomal RNA
Source: RNAcentral
ACGUUUUCACCUUCGGGAGACAGGGAGACAGGUGGUGCAUGGUUGUCGUCAGCUCGUGUCGUGAGAUGUUGGGUUAAGUCCCGCAACGAGCGCAACCCCUACGUUUAGUUGCUAACGCGUGAAGGCGAGCACUCUAGACGAACUGCCGUUGACAAAACGGAGGAAGUGGGAUGACGUCAAAUCAUCAUGCCCCUUAUGUUCUGGGCUACACACGUGCUACAAUGGCCGGUACAGACGGACGCAAAGCCGCGAGGCGGAGCAAAUCCGAAAAAGCCGGUCUCAGUUCGGAUUGCAGGCUGCAAUUCGCCUGCAUGAAGUCGGAAUCGCUAGUAAUCGCAGGUCAGCAUACUGCGGUGAAUACGUUCCCGGGCCUU